Parasteatoda tepidariorum (common house spider) is the source of this 617-nucleotide long non-coding RNA. RefSeq lists it as uncharacterized. The record is from RefSeq and is a predicted model, not a curated record. Lineage: Eukaryota; Metazoa; Arthropoda; Arachnida; Araneae; Theridiidae.
GUUGAAUGUAAAGGUUUUUAAUUUUCCUUAAUAAAAAUUUAUGAUAUUUUUUUCUUCCGAUUUCGAAGUCUGUCAAUACAACAUUUAUAGAAGAAUUAAGGUUUUUGCUUUAAAACGAGUACGUUUAAAGGAUUUAGUGGUACCUUAGUAGUUAAAGUCAACUAAGCGUUAAAUGUAUUUAUAAUGUUAUACAUUAGUAGAAAAAUAUGGAAAUGGAACUACGUUGUGAUAGCCUUAACAUUAGUGUUAAAUGUCUUCACGCUUUCCGGGCCUCCGUUAUCUUUUGUUGGACGCCCAAAACUCCUGCAGCAUCGUUCCCUUAAUCCAGGAGCUGCUGCAUAGAUUACACAACGAUGCAUGCAAUAUAUUAUGGUUAUGAAGAAAGAUAAUGCACCAUUACUUUCGUUGAUCAAUGCUUACGAGAGCCACCAUCGCUUUAUUUCAUACUCCCAGAUUUUAUGCAACAUUAUUCCAUUGAUCAAAGAAUUGUGAUGCAGAAAAGCAUAUUAUUUAUAUGCUGAAAAUGCAACAUUAUUUUUAUAGUUGUACGCUUAUGUAUUGCCUCAAAUGUUCAUUAACAUUAAAAAUGAGUUUAUAUUAAAAACGUAAUCAAAUUA